This 1460-nucleotide long non-coding RNA is filed under the name Homo sapiens (human). RNAcentral's name for it is "HSALNT0355780". The record is from RNAcentral. Lineage: Eukaryota; Metazoa; Chordata; Mammalia; Primates; Hominidae.
UUCACUGUUAUACUUGGAGGCCAUGUCACCUGAGAGUCAAUGGGCAACGAUCAAAUUUCACCUUGAGCAGAUUCUUUUGUUUGCUUUUUAGUCACAAAUAGCUUGGCCCUAAGUGGUGGCUCCCAUUCUUGUAAGAUGCGUUUAUUCAUCGUGUAAUCACCAGUUCCCUGUAGUGGGGGCGUGGAUGGAGUGUCAGAGGCUCCUGCUGGUCUUUAGGGUGUCUGGCCUCCAGGAAUCCUAGAGUAAAUUGGGAACUACAGCACUCGAUGUUAGAGUUGUCGUGAAGAUUAAAGAAGGUGACGACUGGACAACUCCCAGCCCAAUACCUGAAACUGUACCAGCACCCAGUGAGCACUGCUAUUCCUGUGACUGCUGCACAUUUGCCUUAUCUCAGCAGUAUGCCUGUGUCACUUUUUUGGCACUCUUUUCUCAUGGGUACAUUCAGAGAAGAGGAAUGUUUGUUCACUGGUGAAGAGAACAUCCCGUGUACUAUCGUGUAGAAGUUGUAGUAGACGCUGUGGUCUUUCCAACAACAAACAAAUGGGCAAGUCUAUGCAAACCUGUCCCCAAAGUCCAAGGAGGCUGAGAGGCCAAAGAAAGAGGCUGGCAAAUCCAGUCUCUUAAAAAGAAACAUUUAACAGUGUCUUACAAACAGAAGCCACGUCUGUGUCUUAGGGGACUAGACAAGAGAAUGGAUCCCCGCCAUUAGCCCCAGACCUGGAGCUCAUGUACCAGGGAAAGGGUGGUUCAGAAGAGACAUGCAGGACAACUGAAGUAUGACAACAUCACAGUUGUUUGACCUACAGGCAGGAUUUAUGCUAAGUGCCUGCUCUAACACAAGGAACAAUCGAUAAACUGAAAAUCUUGGAGGCCUUCCUGGAACUGGGGUUCAUCAAAGCCAACAUGGGAGAUUAGCUUCCAAGACAGAGUCUCUUGGCCUUAGUGGUGCUGCCUGCAGCAUUCUAGCACCCACCUCCACAUAAAAGCGAGAGGUGGUUCCCAUUUAUAUCGGAGUCUUGGAAGGAUCCAUACAUUUCAUGCAGGGAUGUCAGUCACGGCCAGCUGAUACACUUAUACAACAUUACUGAGACCAUAACUUUACAGUUUUUGUUCUUUCAAUGUAUCUCAAGGCCUGAUUCUGAGAAAUAAUACUGCUGGGGAAUUGUACAAAUGAUAUGCAUUUCAUUCUUCUGUUCUUCACUGCAUAAAAGAAACAAACUGUGAACUCGGACUUUAUCUGCCUGACCCCAGAUGGAGGAGCUUGUACUGCCUUGUCAUUAGUGUUGGGCUCUUGACUUACAUGGAGGGGUGCAUUUCGACAUGCCGCAGAAAGGUUUCCCAGGACGGGCAAUCAGAGGAGGUUUGUCAUCUGCUCAUCACCCAGUAUCUUCCUUAUUAAUAAUACUCAAGAGGGAAUUUUGUCUGAAUACUUCAGAGCUGGUCGUGGGGAUUGGGGGAGG